Molecule: long non-coding RNA, 1640 nt
Filed under: Drosophila guanche
Lineage: Eukaryota; Metazoa; Arthropoda; Insecta; Diptera; Drosophilidae
Source: RNAcentral
CGGCAGCCAGCGUGUGCAUAUAUCUGUAUCUCCUUCUGUCUCAGCCUUUGGCUCCAUAUCCGUCUGCGUCUCGAUCUUCAUUUCGGUUUCUUUUUGGGGCUUCCUUCCCUCAGUUUCAAUGCGUUCGUUCCCAACGCACGAUUUACACAUUAAAACACUUUAAUUUUUAUUGUACAGCCGGUCGGAGCUUCGAUCUGUCGAUCAGUGACGAUCUACUUCCCUUUUUUUAAUCAACUCCGAAGGUGGAGCACAUGGGGCGAGAUAGAGAGAGGAGGGACCUUUCCCAACCUCAAAUUAGUGACUUGAGGGUAUUUUUAGCUGUGGGAACUGCAGUUAUUACUUGGGGUGUGUGCUGCUCGUAGAUGCAACGCCCCCGCCUCCCCAUCAUCCGCCCUCAUCCAGUCCAUUCAGUGCCCAAAAUAAUGAGCAUGAAAAAUAUGAAACGGUAGCAAAUGUGUGAACUGAUCUGAUCCAAGCAGAGCCGAACCGAACCGAACCGCUCCACUCGGGACGUAGCUAAAGCCGAUCUGAAGUGGGGUUGGUUGGUGUCGGAUGUGAUGCUGCUGCUGUGGCUGCUUGGCCAAGAUAUAUGUUGAUUUAAAUGAAUUCCUUGUUGAUUUUUAUGGCGCUUAGUCGCGACUUGCCUGCAUUUGGGGGGAAAUUUGAGUGAAGUGUGCGGUCUGCGGAGCAUUAGGAGUCGUGACAGAGACCGGGGGCUACGAGUAAUAUUUGAUUAUUUUUUGUGGGAGAUUUUAUUUUUAUGAAUUUGAUAAAUGGCCAGCAGGGAGUUGGGCUAAUAACCGGGAAGUUUUUUUUCUGACAGAUGCCAAAAAAGGGGGAACGAAAUGGGGGAAUGUUUAAUUUCGAUUACGAAAAUAUACUCUCAGUGCCGAGGUGUGGGAAUUACCUAUUGACUUAAGGGUUUAAAUGUGCUUAAGUUUCAUGGUUCACGAUAUUUCGGACUCUAUGAAUACAGCGCUGAGCUUUCAUUACAACGAAUUUAACCACAAUUAUUAUCCAUUGAUAUUUCAAAUUAUUUCAUUUAUCGUUUCAGUCGCCUGAGAUGUCCUCCCUGCAGAUCAAUAAUCUCAAUAAUGGGCGUUCCAGCCCGUAAGUCAUGGUAACGGUCAGUUUUGCCGAUCAGCUGCUCAUGUGACAACAUUUGCACUAUGUAAGUAUGUGAUGAGGCUUCUCUCCAGCUCUCGUGCCACAGAUUCGCUGCACAGCUGCUCGUCUCCCUCCCCAUGCCCGUCUAUGAUAACAAUGGAAUUACAGCUCGGAGCCCGGACAAUGGACGGCGCUAAGAAAACUGAACUGACUUUCUAGGGGACGUGCGGGGUAUCUUUUGCCGCUACCAAACGUCUUACAUAAUCGCAGAAAAGAUGCGACGACUCCUAGAGGCAGACGCGGCAUGGAUUUUGAAUGAAGCGUGCCUGAUGCGAGGCAGCUGCUGCUAUUGCUGCUGCUUGAUGAAGGGUUGCCGGGGAUUAAGUGCGAUCUGUGUGCUGUAAAGAUUUGCGGUUGUCUUGCCACUGAAUCGAUUCCCCCUGUGCCAAAGCCACUGUAAAUCCUUCUGCCAUACGGCAAGUACAGUCAGACCUCGGGGGAAAUCAGGCGACAAACACACAUGCACAGCGACC